RNAcentral lists this long non-coding RNA (233 nucleotides) under Panax ginseng (ginseng). RNAcentral's name for it is "long non-coding RNA (PGIN_LNC002626)". Lineage: Eukaryota; Viridiplantae; Streptophyta; Magnoliopsida; Apiales; Araliaceae. The record is from RNAcentral.
UUGGGUGUUUUUCCGCCAACGUAAAGAUAGAGCUUCACGACGGACGGAUUUGAGAUGGGUAUUUGAGAUUAAGGGCUUUAAGCUUGGCCUCUAUUUCGGCCGAUAGGGAGAGGCAGAGCUACGAAACGGCGAGUUAGACAGACGGCGAAGGCCGGAGAUUGAGACGGGAAGAGGCCGGAGAGUCGAGAGGCAAGAAGAGGCUGAGGAAUCGGGAAUGGAAGGGGGCAAGGGGC